RNAcentral lists this ribosomal RNA (245 nucleotides) under uncultured prokaryote. Its description in RNAcentral is "partial 16S ribosomal RNA". It matches the Rfam family "Bacterial small subunit ribosomal RNA", at positions 524 to 768 of the family's 1533-position model. The record is from RNAcentral.
UACGGAGGAUGCAAGCGUUAUCCGGAUUCAUUGGGUUUAAAGGGUGCGCAGGCGGAGAGAUAAGUCAGUGGUGAAAAACUGCCGCUCAACGGUAGUCUUGCCAUUGAUACUGUCUUUCUUGAGUAUGGAUGAGGUAGGCGGAAUGUGCAGUGUAGCGGUGAAAUGCAUAGAUAUUGCACGGAACACCAAUUGCGAAGGCAGCUUACUGGACCAUUACUGACGCUCUGGCACGAAGGCGUGGGGAU